CCCUUAGAUGUCCUGGGCCGCACGCGCGCUACACUGAGUGUCUGAGAUACGAGUCUGCCUGGUCCGGCAAGGUCUAGGUAAUCGCUAAAAGACACAUCAUGCUUGGGAUAGAUUAUUGCAAAUAUUAAUCUUGAACGAGGAAUUCCUAGUAAGCGCAAGUCAACAGCUUGCGUUGAUUACGUCCCUGCCCUUUGUACACACCGCCCGUCGCUACUACUGAUUGGAUGUUUAAUCGAGGUUCUCGAACUGCUAGCGACUUAGCUUCGGUGAGGUCGCAGUGUGGGAAGUGAACCUAGCUUUGGUGUCUAGAGGAAGUAAAAGUCGUAACA
RNAcentral lists this ribosomal RNA (329 nucleotides) under uncultured eukaryote. RNAcentral's name for it is "partial 18S ribosomal RNA". It matches the Rfam family "Eukaryotic small subunit ribosomal RNA", at positions 1470 to 1796 of the family's 1831-position model. The record is from RNAcentral.